This is a long non-coding RNA of Xiphophorus hellerii (green swordtail), 1278 nucleotides long. RefSeq lists it as uncharacterized. NCBI's taxonomy places the organism in Eukaryota, Metazoa, Chordata, Actinopteri, Cyprinodontiformes, Poeciliidae. The record is from RefSeq and is a predicted model, not a curated record. The transcript is spliced from 4 exons.
GUGUGUAAAAUAAUCCACAGACCAUCUAGUUCUACAAUAAUCUUUCUAGCCUUUAUCCAAUGUUUUGGAUUUACCCAGACAAAAUGUUCUGUCAGGGUAAAUUUUAAAUUUAAACAAAGUGAAGAAAAAAAUUGGAAUGAAUCUCCAUUAAAAAGCACAUAUCUGCAAUUUCCGUCUCCACUUUGAUACAAUAGUAGUGGGGUGAAAAAAAAGAUAGUUUGUUUCCAGGGAAUUUUCUCUCCACUUCUUUCCUUAGUGGAAAGAAAUUUCAAAGAUCUGACGUCUCUGGGGGUUUAAAGGAAGAAAAAAAAUACAGUUUCUGCCUGCUGCUUCGGGACAAUGGCUUUGUGUUGCAAAGGACAUAAUUGUUGUUUCCCCCUAACUGAGCAGUUAUUGGCACCUCUUUUAAGGAUGUGUCAAAAGUCUUAGGAGAAUUUCAUCUAAGAUUACAUUAUAAAUACAAAAAAAAAUCUUGCCUUGAUUCUCACAACAUUCAUUCAGUUGGAGAAAAAUUGUGCGUUGAGAAGAAAAAUGCAACCGAAAAAUUGUUGUAAUUUUCUACAUUGCUUUUAAAACUUAAUCAAGAGUAUGCGGUUAUUUAAUUUGUAUUAAUGUGCUAUGUACAGUACAUGAAAUGACACAGAAGCCCCUUUUUAAGAACCGGUCUUCAAAUUGUGAAAGUCAAGCAAUCGUGGCAUUAAACAUUAAAGUUAGGCAAUUGCGUAACUACUGCAUAGAAAUUGUGGCAAUCCUAAACUUAAACAUGUCACAGUCUGUGAGAAAUAAAAUGUUUAAAACAACUGUAAUGGUGACAAACGAGGCUGGACGAAGGUCAAAGUUUAUAUAUACUUCACAAACAGUGAGGGGAAUGAUAAGGGAGGGAAAACAAUCUUAAAAACCCAUAAUUAGAGAACUGAAGAAAGGAAAAUUAUCUUAGGAUUACAGAAUCUUCAGAAUCCUUACACGCUGUCAUGAGGGGGAUUUUUCCUAUGUAUGUUUUAGUCAUAUCACCCUAAAAAUUAACUUUAUGCUAACAAACAUUCCAGGUACAUUUAAUAUAAAACAUUAUAAAAAGUGUUGUUGAGACGUUUACCCCAGACACGCACCAUACAUGCACGCACACACAAACUACGGACACAAAGAUUCUACACAAAAGCCUUUUGUUUUAUAUGGAAACUUUCUGUAGAAACGAAACUUAACUUUAGUUAAUUUAGAGCAUCGGAUGACCACUGGGAGGACCUUUAUUUAAUUAAAUUGUUUGCUACUAAAAAAUUAUUA